Transfer RNA from Lachnobacterium bovis DSM 14045, 85 nucleotides. It matches the Rfam family "tRNA". Rfam says of the family: Transfer RNA (tRNA) molecules are approximately 80 nucleotides in length. The record is from Rfam. Lineage: Bacteria; Bacillati; Bacillota; Clostridia; Lachnospirales; Lachnospiraceae.
GCAGAAAUGGCGGAAUUGGCAGACGCGCAGGUUUCAGGUACCUGUAGUAAUUAUUACUGUGUGGGUUCAAAUCCCAUUUUCUGCA